This is an unclassified non-coding RNA of Pongo abelii (Sumatran orangutan), 148 nucleotides long. It matches the Rfam family "Metazoan signal recognition particle RNA". From Rfam's summary of the family: The signal recognition particle (SRP) is a universally conserved ribonucleoprotein. The record is from Ensembl. NCBI's taxonomy places the organism in Eukaryota, Metazoa, Chordata, Mammalia, Primates, Hominidae.
GCUGGGCGUGGUGGCACAUGCCUGUAGUCCCAGCUACUCAGGAGGCUGAGAUACAAGAAUCACUUGAACCCAGGAGGCGGAGGUUGCAGUGAGCGGAGAUCAUGCCACUGCACUCCAUCCUGGGUGACAGAGUGAGACUGUGUCUCAA